This is a long non-coding RNA of Ictalurus punctatus (channel catfish), 2122 nucleotides long. Lineage: Eukaryota; Metazoa; Chordata; Actinopteri; Siluriformes; Ictaluridae. The record is from Ensembl.
GGUGAUUAUUUACCUGGAUUAGUUAGUUGUAUUAGUUUAGUUGGAUUGGUCUAGCUGGAUUAGUUUAGCUGGAUUAUUUACAUGGAUUAGUUUAGUUGGAUUAUUUACUUGGAUUAGUUUAGCUGGAUUAUUUACCUGGAUUAGUUUAGUUGGAUUAGUUUAGUUGGAUUGGUCUAGCUGGAUUGAGAUAUCUCAGAUAAAUACGUUUCGUCUGUGAUCCAUGAAUCAGAAACAUGAUCAGUCAUUUAAUUCAGUAAAUGAGUAAAUUCCUGAAGGUUUGUGGUUGUAUAUCUGGUCUUCAUGUGUCAGAGGUUCAAGGUGCAGUGUUAAUGUCGUGGAAUCGGCGUGUGGUCAUGAAAGAAACGCUAAAAAGGAGAAGAGAGAAGACGAGGCGUGUGGAGCAGCUGCCAUGUGGAAAAAUAAAAAAAAAAAACAGAAGAAAAUCCAACAGUCAGUGGGAGUGAGUUUCAAAUUCAAGAGGAAUUCCUGUGUGUGUGUGUGAGUGUGUGUGUGUGUGUGUGUGUGUGGAAGAUGGCUCAACAAAAACAUGGCAGCUGUGCUUCAUGACAAACUGAGCACCUAAAGAAAGAGGAAAAUCCAGCAAACGGAAAGGAAUGUGCACGCUCCAUCAUGAUUCCGACAGAGACAGAGCGAGAGAGAGAGAGAGAGUGUGUGUUAGUGACAGAUAGAGAGACACAGACAGACAGAAAGCUAGAUAGAGACAGACAAACUGAGAGACACAGACAGACAUAGAGAAAGAGAGAGAGACAGACAGAUAGAGAGACAGACGGAGAGACAGAGAGACACAAGAGUGAGACAGAUGGAGAGACACAGACAGAGAGCGAGACAGUCCCCUCAAGAAAGUCUGCUAACACUUUUACACCAAACACUCGGUAAAUGAAACUUGUAUGAUGCUAUGUGGGCGGAGCUAUAAACAGUUCAGCUCACUGAUUGGUCCAACAUAACGCUGACAGAAACCAGACCAUCUCACUAACUUUAUCUCUCUUUUAUAGUCAGUGUUUUUCUGCAGGAUGUGAGGGGACACGUGACGUUUAUGAAGUGGCGUGUGGCGGUUACAGUCGGCUCGGUUACUUUACUCUUCUUACUCUAAUUACGUCAAAUAAGUCAGUUAGUGAACUCUGUGUGUGUCGCAGCGCCAUGAUCAAACUCGAAAAAUCUCUAACUCUGUCUCUUCCCUGUUUUCAUCGUCUGUUAAACUUCAGUAACAAUAGAGAUGGAGAGAGAGAGAUAGAGAGAGAGAGGGAGAGGGUGAGAGAGAGAUAGAGAGAGAGAUGGAGAGAGUGAGAGAGAGAGUGAGAGAGAGAGAGAGAGAUGGAGAGAGAGAGAGGGAGAGAGAGAGAGGGAGAGAGAGAUGGAGAGAGAGAGAGAGAUAGAGAGAGAGAUGGAGAGAGUGAGAGAGAGAAGGAGAGAGAGAGAUGGAGAGAGAGAGAGAUGGAGAGAGAGAGAGAUGGAGAGAGAGAUGGAGAGAGUGAGAGAGAGAGUGAGAGAGAGAGAGAGAGAUGGAGAGAGAGAGAGGGAGAGAGAGAGGGAGAGAGAGAGAUGGAGAGAGAGAUGGAGAGAGAGAGAUGGAGAGAGAGAUGGAGAGAGAGAGAUGGAGAGAGAUGGAGAGAGAGAGAGAGGGAGAGAGAGAGAGGGAGAGAGAGAGAUGGAGAGAGAGAUGGAGAGAGAGAUGGAGAGAGAGAGAGAUGGAGAGAGAGAGAGGGAGAGAGAGAGAUGGAGAGAGAGAGAGAUGGAGAGAGAGAGAGGGAGAGAGAGAGAGGGAGAGAGAGACAGCUAGAGAGAGUGAGAGAGAGAGAGAGAUGGAGAGAGAGAGGGAGAGAGAGAGAUGGAGAGAGAGAGAGGGAGAGAGAGGGAGAGAGAGAGAGAGAGACUGGACAUGGUGGAGAGGUGAAACGAGGUCAGUAGAUCACACAGGUGUGUGUUUAUGGUUAAAACUCCACACCGCACCUUUAAUUAUCACGCAUGAGCUUACCUGCUGUUUAUUUCAUUAUUUGGAACUUUUUCUUUCGAUAUUAAUGAAGAAUAUAAACUGUGGUGUAAAAACUUAUUUUUAGUUUGUGUUGAUAAAAGUGCAAAUAAUGAUUUCAGAUUUUAGUGAAGC